AGCUUCCUUAAGUAGUAUCCAUUAAGAGGUCGUCAUCUAGCUAAAAUCGACCUUUUGAUGUACUACUUUAAAAAAGCA
Non-coding RNA from Drosophila pseudoobscura pseudoobscura, 78 nucleotides. The record is from Rfam. Lineage: Eukaryota; Metazoa; Arthropoda; Insecta; Diptera; Drosophilidae.